GAUGAACGCUGGCGGCGUGCCUAAUACAUGCAAGUCGAGCGAACAGACGAGGAGCUUGCUCCUCUGACGUUAGCGGCGGACGGGUGAGUAACACGUGGAUAACCUACCUAUAAGACUGGGAUAACUUCGGGAAACCGGAGCUAAUACCGGAUAAUAUAUUGAACCGCAUGGUUCAAUAGUGAAAGACGGUUUUGCUGUCACUUAUAGAUGGAUCCGCGCCGCAUUAGCUAGUUGGUAAGGUAACGGCUUACCAAGGCAACGAUGCGUAGCCGACCUGAGAGGGGGGGGCGCCCACCCUGGAAUGGAACCACGUCCAGACCCCCGGGGGGAGGAAGAAGGGGGGAUCUUCCGCAAUGGGCGAAAGCCAGAACGGCGCACCCCGGGGGGAUGAAUAAGGUUUGCGGUACCUAAAACCUUUGUAAUGGGGAAAAAAAAAAUUUGAAAGAAACUAUCCACUCCUGAGGGUUCAUUAAUCAGAAACCCAGGCAAACCCCGGGC
This 498-nucleotide ribosomal RNA is filed under the name uncultured bacterium. RNAcentral's name for it is "partial 16S ribosomal RNA". It matches the Rfam family "Bacterial small subunit ribosomal RNA", at positions 28 to 508 of the family's 1533-position model. The record is from RNAcentral.